AGAUGAUGGAUUUGCAUGUGCUUCUAUGAAGAAAUGCCACGUGUCUCUACUGGUCCAAGAACGAACAUGCCCAGACUACUGCCACCUUAGGGGACUAGGGCUUGAUGACAGCUCUUCCCGGGGAAUCAGGCGUGGUCUGACCCAGGAACAGGAAGCACAUCGUCACCAAUGACAUCAUGACAGCAAGAGAGCACAGCCCUCGCCAUGGCACCAGGGCCCGUGCGAUGCAGCGGGCUUCUACCGUCGAUGUGGCAGCCGACAUGCUUGGCCUCUCUCUGGCAGGAAGUAUACAGGAUCCAGACGAGCCCAUUUUAGAAUUCAGCUUAGCUUGCAGUGAGCUGCAUACACCGUCGCUAGAUCGAAAACCAAAUAGCUUUGUAGCAGUGAGUGUGACCACCCCACCCCAGGCGUUCUGGACGAAACACGCGCAGACGGAGAUCAUUGAGGGAACCAACGAUCCUAUAUUUCUAAGCAGUAUUGCCUUCUUUCAAGACUCUCUUAUCAAUCAGAUGACACAGAUCAAGCUCUCCGUGUAUGAUGUCAAGGAUAGAUCUCAGGGAACAAUGUACUUGCUGGGCUCUGGAACAUUUGUCGUCAAAGAUCUGCUCCAGGACAGGCGUCAUAGGUUGUAUUUAACACUAAGGUCUGCGGAGAGCGACCGCGUGGGCAACAUCACCGUGAUGGGCUGGCAGAUGGAGGAGAAGUCAGACCAGCGGCCCCCCGUGACCCGGUCUCUGGACACCGUCAACGGGAGGAUGGUUCUGCCUGUUGACGAGAGCUUGACCGAGGCCUUGGGAAUCCGAUCCAAAUACGCUUCGUUGCGAAAAGACACUUUACUGAAAUCGGUGUUCGGCGGUGCCGUCUGCCGCAUGUACCGGUUCCCGACCACCGAGGGCAACCACCUGCGGAUUCUGGAGCAGAUGGCAGAGAGCGUGCUGUCCCUGCACGUGCCCCGGCAGUUCGUGAAGCUCCUGCUGGAGGAGGACGCGGCCAGAGUGUGUGAACUGGAGGAGCUGGGGGAACUGUCCCCUUGCUGGGAGAGCCUCCGGCGCCAGAUCGUCACUCAGUACCAGACCAUCAUCCUCACGUACCAGGAGAACCUGACCGACCUCCAUCAGUACAAAGGUCCCUCGUUCAAGGCAAGCAGUUUGAAAGCAGAUAAAAAGUUAGAAUUUGUUCCCACAAACUUACACAUACAGAGGAUGAGAGUUCAGGACGAUGGAGGAUCAGAUCAGAACUACGACAUUGUCACCAUCGGAGCGCCAGCAGCACACUGCCAAGGCUUUAAGUCAGGAGGUCUCCGCAAAAAGCUGCACAAAUUUGAAGAGACCAAGAAACAUACGUCGUCCAGCUGCCAGUCCAUCAUCUACAUACCACAGGACAUUGUCAGAGCCAAGGAGAUCAUUGCCCAGAUCAACACCCUGAAAACCCAAGUGAGUUACUACGCAGAGAGGCUCUCGAGGGCGGCCAAGGACAGGUCCGCCACUGGCCUCGAAAGAACACUCGCCAUCUUAGCAGACAAGACCCGGCAGCUGGUCACCGUGUGCGACUGCAAGCUGCUGGCCACCUCCAUCCACGGGCUGAACGCGGCCCGGCCCGACUACAUCGCCUCCAAGGCCUCGCCCACCUCCACUGAGGAGGAGCAGGUGAUGCUGAGGAACGACCAGGACACCCUCACGGCCAGGUGGUCGGGCAGGAACAGCCGGUCUUCCCUGCAGGUGGACUGGCACGAGGAGGAGUGGGAGAAGGUGUGGCUGAACGUGGACAAGAGCCUGGAGUGCAUCAUCCAGCGGGCAGACAAGCUGCUGCAGCGGGAGCGCCUGCAGGCCGAGGGCUGCGACCACAGCCUCCCCGGCACCGGCAGCUGCGCAGGAAGGAAAGAUUGCAGUCCCCCUCCUGAAGAGUCCAGCCCAGGUGAGUGGAGCGAGGCCCUGUACCCCCUGCUGACCACCCUCACGGACUGCGUGGCCAUGAUGAGCGACAAGGCCAAGAAGGCGAUGGUCUUCCUGCUCAUGCAGGACAGCGCGCCCACCAUCGCCACCUUCCUGAGCCUGCAGUACCGCCGCGACGUGGUCUUCUGCCAGACGCUGACGGCGCUGAUCUGUGGCUUCGUCAUCAAGCUGAGGAACUGCCUGCACGACGACGGCUUCUUGCGGCAGCUCUACACCAUCGGGCUGCUCGCCCAGUUUGAGAGCCUGCUGAGCACCUACGGGGAGGAGCUGGCCAUGCUGGAGGACAUGAGUCUUGGGAUCAUGGACUUGAGGAACGUGACCUUCAAAGUCACUCAGGCUACUUCUAAUGCAUCAACCGACAUGCUGCCCGUCAUCACAGGAAAUCGGGAUGGCUUUAACGUGCGGAUCCCCCUGCCGGGCCCCCUGUUUGACGUCCUGCCCCGGGAGAUCCAGAGCGGGAUGCUGCUGCGGGUACAGCCCGUGCUCUUCAACGUGGGCAUCAACGAGCAGCAGACACUGGCCGAAAGGUUUGGCGACACGUCUUUACAAGAAGUUAUCAACGUGGAGAGCUUGGUGCGGUUAAAUUCCUACUUCGAGCAGUUUAAGGAGGUUUUGCCAGAGGAUUGCCUACCUCGAUCUCGGAGCCAGACGUGCCUGCCGGAGCUGCUGCGGUUCCUGGGUCAGAACGUGCACGCCAGGAAGAACAAGAACGUUGACAUUCUCUGGCAAGCUGCUGAGAUCUGCCGCCGCCUCAAUGGGGUGCGGUUCACCAGCUGCAAGAGCGCCAAGGACCGCACGGCCAUGUCGGUGACACUGGAGCAGUGCCUGAUCCUGCAGCACGAGCACGGCAUGGCCCCGCAGGUCUUCACGCAGGCCCUGGAGUGCAUGCGCAGUGAGGGUUGUCGAAGAGAAAAUACAAUGAAGAAUGUUGGAAGUCGCAAAUAUGCGUUUAAUUCCCUGCAGCUGAAGGCUUUCCCCAAGCAUUACAGGCCUCCUGAAGGGACUUACGGAAAAGUUGAAACAUGAACACACGGUUUCCUCUAAUUAGCUGUUAUGUAAUAAAUGUGGGUACCCUCUAGUGUCAUAUAUGAAUUCUUCAAGAAGACCUGAAGGAUUGGUUUUUACUUUUAUGUUUUUAAAACUAUUUCACUAAAGAGUCUAUAGAGCAUGUUUUUUGCGUUGGAAUCCAUAGCAGGUAAUGUUGGGCUCACUAGUGUGGAGAGUUAACAACUGCCCAUUUAAACAGCCUUCAGCCAUAACCACACAGAUAUCAACAGUUACCUGUAUGAAUCAAGCCAGGUGCGUCUGAAAUGCUAAGACUUUCUAAAACGCCCACUUAGGCAGCUGCUCACCUAAGUUAUUUUUCUACUGAGUAACUCAAAAUUGAGCAUUGAUUUACAAUCUACUUUUUAAAAAUCUCCAUGUAAAACAGUAAAUAAUAGUUUAAAUGAUUGGAUCCCGGGCAGACCACUAAAUGUUAAAUGUUAAGGGAAGUUUUGGGGAAAGACGCUCGGUCUGUCUCAUGCGGCCAGGGCGAGUGCUUCUGGUGCAUCAGCCUGCCUGUAACAGCACGGGUGGAACCAGGAGUUGAAGUAAAGGCUGAUAAAUCAGCCUGAGGUAAGACUUACUAGAAGACAAUACCUGCAAAGCCGCCCGCACAGUAGGGGCCACCCCUGUCCCUUAAAGAACAGGGUGUCUGCUCGAGGGCAUGAGGCCAGCCGGCUCCUGUUGCCUUAUGCCCCGUGUGUAGUCCACGGCCCCAGGGCACGUCUCCCCUUCUUCCCCAGGUCAGGACCUCGCACGUGGUAUUGUCUGAUGCCUCUCAGUCAACAAUGGGGGAUUUUGCAUAGAGACAGUGGAAGCCUAAAUAUUUUCAAAAUUGGUGUCCUCUGGUGGGUUUCCCAAUUUUUUGUCUUCUAGAAGACAAUACAAUCAUGUUCGAAUGUCUGAUGAAAGUGUCUUUUAGGUCUGCAAUAAUUGUUACUACUCAUUCUGUUAUGUAAGAUGGCUGUUGAGAAAGUUGAGAUAUCUCCUAAAAUGAGAUUUUGAAAGGGAUUAAUGGACCAUAAAACUUAGGAAUUUCAUAGAAAAUUAUGUCUGGUCAUCUAUUAUAAGAUGAUGAUGAGUCAUCUGCACAUAGCAGAGUUUUUUCUUAGUUUAUAUGUUUUUAUCAAUUGUUUUUAUCAUUAUGUUUACAUGUUAUUUAAAAGGCUGUAAAAGAAAUGUAUGUGGCACAUAUUCAUGAUACUGAUCCUAAUGACUUGUGAACCCUUAGGAAGUUCCUUUACCUAAAAUUCUAAAUGCUAUUCUUUGGGCUCCUCUAGAAAUGCCACUUGGAAACACGUAACAGGCCUGGGCCUGGGGAGCUGAAGCACAGGCAAGACCACCCCUUGGCAGGGACAGAGGGUGGGCAUCAGGUAAGGGUGGAACCAGGUGACCUUUCAGAUCCUUUCCUCCUCAGAAGUCAGUGCACACCUGGAGCCUGCUGUCUCCUGACGCCCACUGGUGAGUGUGAACUGGUGUGGAGGGUGAGUCAGUGAGGGACCCUUGGUGCUCACCAACCCCUGCACAGCUGGGUUCACUGUGGAGGGCGGAGGUGGAGAAACGUGUCCCGCAAGCCCACUGCACAGGUGGCAGCAGGUGGUGUCAGAUUCUCCUGCUGUGUCGAUCCAUGUGCAGAGACAGCUUCCAGUAUGGCUGAUUUAGUCUUUCACCUCCACCAUUUCAUUUAAUUUGUCAUUUUCUAGUAUCUAUAUAUUUCCAUCUUUACUCAUUUUAACAUCAUUUUUUAAAACUCCCUUGUAUUUUUAAUGUUACUCAUACAACUUUCAGAUUUUUUUUUUUUUUUUUGGUCUGAAGAGCAUUACCUGCAUUUACCAAAAGGGAAUAUAGCAAAUGUUGUCAUCUGUUAGCAGUUUUGCAUGUGGCACCUUUAUGUGAGUAUUUUCCUAAUUUUGGCUUCAUGUUGGAUCACCAUAAAAGUCGAAGACUUGGCUAAUCACGUAGAAAAUAUUCAGGUUUCAGUAUUCCACCUGAGCGUUACUCCCCCGCUCCUGUGCGGUAGUCAGUCUCACGGCGGCACUGCACGAUUACAAAGCUCGUUGAGUGGGGGCCACAUUGCCCAUCGUGGUGGCUGCAGGUACCCAGGUCACACGGGAGCUUUGAGUUUUCAGUUGGAGAAGGAAGGCAGUUGUACAGGUUCCCGUAAAAUAGAGGUUCCAUCAAGUGCUCCUUAUAUAAGGCACCCAUUUAAAAAGAAACGUUGAGACACUGAAAGCUCAGAUGUGACGUGGAUUCUGUGAAAGCGUCUGCAGCACAGUUGCCUUUGGUUUCCUUUAAAAACGUACAAAUACAGUAUAAUAAGUUUUGUCCCUACACAAUUGUAUUUGCCAGGCUUAGUGCAUUAAGGUACUUUUAUUUAUUUGUUUUGGACAGUAUUAAUAUAUAUAAACAUAUAGUUACCGUUUUAUAUAUUCUUAGCUCAUUCAAAGCCAUGUAUGCUGUAAAUGUGCUAGUCUUUAGAAUGACAAUAAACAACUAACAAGAUCAUUAAACCUGGUCUGCCUGAUUCAUUCGGAUACAUUAGGAGGACUGGUUCUGUGGCCGGCAUCUGGCUGGACCAUCUGGCUGGACUGCUGGGCAUUGCAUUGAGUGCUCAGUGUUUGUAAACAUGAGACAUUUCUGUUUUAUAAUCCUGUUUUCACUUAGUUGGAAGUAGAGGGCAGUGAGGUGUGGGAUUCAGCUUCAGACAGAUUCGGAUCCCUAUCCUGUUCUGCCUUUCACUGGCUGGUGACUUUGAGCAGCUUGCUUGCCCUCUCUGAGCCUCCCUCCAUGUGCUGAGUAUGAAGUUGCUGCUUUUGCCCUUGGGCCCAGUGCACAUCAGAUUUUGCGUACACGCUGUAAGAGUGAAGUUCCUCCUGUCUCCCCCAGCCCUGUGGAGAUGCUGCAGUUAAGCCUUCAUGGCCAAAUGCUCUGGGAGCUCCUCUUCUCAAAUACAGACCCCCAGGCUGGGGAGCCUGACAUGGGGCUCAGAACUCUCACUCCUGUGGGGGAACCUCUGCCAUAUGAUUACUCUCCAGUUUGGGGGUCACCCACCCCCUCCCAGGGGUAUGGGAUUUGACUGUACUGCGAGUGUGCCCUUCUUACUGCCUCGUUGUGGUUCCUUCUUUACGUCUUUGGUUACAGAAUAUCUUUUUUGGUAGGUUCUUACCUUUUCUUAUCGAUGGCUGUUCAGCAGUUAGUUGUGAUUUUGGUGUGCUCACGAGAGGAGGUGAGCUCAAGGUCCUUCUACUCUGCCAUCUUGUCCCAGGAACCGAGGAAAUUUUAAUCCAGGGUCAUUGUGCUCUCCAGAUCAUCGACCAUGACCCACAAACAAUUCAUCGGGAAUUAUUUUUGGCAUAAGGCACAUGUUGUAGUGUUUGCUACGGUCAGCACGGCUCCCUCCUCUAAGCCAGCCCGAAUGUUGCUCCUUUAAAGAUAUAAGCAAGGGGAGACGUUUCAGGACACUGGCCACCGUCACCGUGCACUUCCUCCUGCCCCUCCUCGAUGCCAUCCUGGGUUUCCGUUCCAGCCUGUUAGUGGGUGACUUGGUUCAACCUGGCUGCUUGGUUCUAGGGGCGGUGACUGCAGAGGUUCUGAUUGGAAGAAGUGAAUAGUAUAUACAACAGACCUCAGUGAAUUUCUGCAACAAGGAUCAGUGCUGAUGUGGAAUUCUCACAACUUCAGGUGAACCUUUAAGAAAGCAAAUGAGCUACAGAAUACCUUGAUUGCUUUAACUCCAGUGACCUGCAGGUCUAUGAAGAAGCUAUGGCUCCUUCCAUUAUUCUUCAAUACUGAAAAAAAAAAACCUGGAAACUUGGAUUCACAUCUGGCUCUACUGUAUUAUGUGACUGGAAUAAAAUUACAUGAUUCUCAACUUUUACAA
Lagenorhynchus albirostris (white-beaked dolphin) is the source of this 6876-nucleotide RNA transcript. It is a transcript of the gene named inositol polyphosphate-4-phosphatase type I A, with no coding region annotated. The transcript is spliced from 26 exons. NCBI's taxonomy places the organism in Eukaryota, Metazoa, Chordata, Mammalia, Artiodactyla, Delphinidae. The record is from RefSeq and is a predicted model, not a curated record.